This is a non-coding RNA of Acanthosepion pharaonis, 93 nucleotides long. The record is from the annotation of a GenBank genome assembly. NCBI's taxonomy places the organism in Eukaryota, Metazoa, Mollusca, Cephalopoda, Sepiida, Sepiidae.
ACGGCUGCACCACGUAGAAAUACCAGUUCCUGUAUGAACACCGAAAUUAAGCAACGUCGAGUCUGGUCAGUACUUAGAUGGGUGACCGCUUGG